CGUUUAACGUCUCUCUCUCCCUUUCUCGAUCCUCCAUCUUUUCUCUGCUAUUGCUUUUAUUUCCAACUCCUUCACUUCCUCCAUUUUUGCAAUCUCUCUCACUCUCUCUCUCUCUCUCUCUCUCUCUCUCUCUCUCUCUCUCCAUCCAAUCUCUUUUUCAUUUUCAAUUUGAAUUCCACCGGUUCACAAAUCAAUUGAAUCAUCGAAUCCGAUAAGCACAGGCAAGCGGCUCAGUAUCAAGCCUCUGGAGCUCAGUUUCUCCCGUCAAAUAAAGGUGAAGACUCUGGCAGUCGGAAGCUGGAGCUGCUGGGCUUGGAGGGCAAAUGACAAACAAGGAGGUCAAGAGCUUGAACAAACGGUUGUUGCUGGGAUAGAACAAAGCCACGAACAACGCUACUGGUAAAGGCAUAUAACAAGGAGAAGAUGGUGGUAUUGAAAACACCCGAGGCGGUGAAAAUACCGAAGCUUUACGAACAAAUCUACAAAACCAUUGUUUUAUCUGUCAAGAGUCGAGACCUUACUUGCAAAUCUACAAAGACUCAAAAACUAGAAAUGAAACUGAGAUAAUUUCCAAUGGAAAUGGCUCCUGCAUUAUUGGAAAAUGGGUUCUAAGUGGUAAGCAAAACUAAGAGUGGACAUUAAUCAGCAAAAGAAUUUGAACCACCUAAUUACAAAUAAGUAAUAAAUUAAUAAAAUAAUAUUAAAAAAGAAAAAAAAUAUAUAUAUAUGUAUAUGUGUGUGUGUAAUAAAAGUAAUUGGGGAAGCAAUUGCUCCCAUUUUCUUUAAGCGUGCAAAAUGGGUUAAGGAGGUGGCCAUUCUCCUUCACCCACGUUGAGUUUUACCUCCCUUUUAGGAGGAAGGGGGACGACAAGAAGAAGACAAGAAAAGAAAAGCAAAACUUGAAGAGAGAACGAACGGCCAAAAGAAAAAAAGAAAGAGAGAAAGAACUGGCUGUUAGGAUAUAAUAGUGCCAAGUGUUACAUGUAUAGCUUACCAUGUGUCUAUGUAUCAUUGGUUAAGUCUUGAGUUUGUUAUAGUUGUGUAUUUAUAAGACAAGUCAAUGUAUUGUAUUGUAUUGGAUUGAAUAAUGUGGUAAUAAUAAUU
Malus domestica (apple) is the source of this 1104-nucleotide long non-coding RNA. RefSeq lists it as uncharacterized. The record is from RefSeq and is a predicted model, not a curated record. NCBI's taxonomy places the organism in Eukaryota, Viridiplantae, Streptophyta, Magnoliopsida, Rosales, Rosaceae.